Molecule: ribosomal RNA, 401 nt
Filed under: uncultured bacterium
Lineage: Bacteria
Description: bacterial SSU rRNA
Rfam family: Bacterial small subunit ribosomal RNA
Source: RNAcentral
UGGGGAAUAUUGGACAAUGGGCGCAAGCCUGAUCCAGCAAUGCCGCGUGAGUGAUGAAGGCCUUAGGGUUGUAAAGCUCUUUCGCCCGCGACGAUGAUGACGGUAGCGGGAGAAGAAGCCCCGGCUAACUCCGUGCCAGCAGCCGCGGUAAUACGGAGGGGGCUAGCGUUGUUCGGAAUUACUGGGCGUAAAGGGCGCGCAGGCGGCUGCUCAAGUCAGGCGUGAAAGGCCUGGGCUCAACCCGGGAAUUGCGCUUGAGACUGGGCUGGCUUGAGUGCGGGAGAGGAUGGUGGAAUUCCCAGUGUAGAGGUGAAAUUCGUAGAUAUUGGGAAGAACACCGGUGGCGAAGGCGGCCAUCUGGACCGCAACUGACGCUGAGGCGCGAAAGCGUGGGGAGCAAA